GACAGAGGGUGCAAACGUUGUUCGGAAUUACUGGGCGUAAAGCGCGUGUAGGCGGUUAUGCAAGUCGGGGGUGAAAGCCCCGGGCUCAACCCGGGAAGUGCAUUCGAUACUGCGUAGCUAGAGUACUGGAGAGGAUGGUGGAACUCUCGGUGUAGAGGUGAAAUUCGUAGAUAUCGAGAAGAACACCGGUGGCGAAGGCGGCCAUCUGGACAGAUACUGACGCUGAGACGCGAAAGCGUGGGGAGCAAACAGG
Molecule: ribosomal RNA, 253 nt
Filed under: uncultured bacterium
Lineage: Bacteria
Description: partial 16S ribosomal RNA
Rfam family: Bacterial small subunit ribosomal RNA
Source: RNAcentral